AGUGAACGCUGGCGGUAGGCCUAACACAUGCAAGUCGAACGGCAGCACAGUAAGAGCUUGCUCUUACGGGUGGCGAGUGGCGGACGGGUGAGGAAUACAUCGGAAUCUACUUUUUCGUGGGGGAUAACGUAGGGAAACUUACGCUAAUACCGCAUACGACCUACGGGUGAAAGCAGGGGAUCUUCGGACCUUGCGCGAUUGAAUGAGCCGAUGUCGGAUUAGCUAGUUGGCGGGGUAAAGGCCCACCAAGGCGACGAUCCGUAGCUGGUCUGAGAGGAUGAUCAGCAACACUGGAACUGAGACACGGUCCAGACCCCUACGGGAGGCAGCAGUGGGGAAUAUUGGACAAUGGGCGCAAGCCUGAUCCAGCCAUACCGCGUGGGUGAAGAAGGCCUUCGGGUUGUAAAGCCCUUUUGCUGGGAAAGAAAAGCAGCAGGUUAAUACCCCGCUGUUCUGACGGUACCCAAAGAAUAAGCACCGGCUAACUUCGUG
This 492-nucleotide ribosomal RNA is filed under the name uncultured bacterium. RNAcentral describes it as "partial 16S ribosomal RNA". It matches the Rfam family "Bacterial small subunit ribosomal RNA", at positions 29 to 507 of the family's 1533-position model. The record is from RNAcentral.